UACGGGGGGGGCAAGCGUUGUUCGGAAUUACUGGGCGUAAAGGGUUCGUAGGUGGCCAACUAAGUCAGACGUGAAAUCCCUCAGCUUAACUGGGGAACUGCGUCUGAUACUGGUUGGCUUGAGUGCAGGAGAGGAACGCGGAAUUCCAGGUGUAGCGGUGAAAUGCGUAGAUAUCAGGAGGAACACCGGUGGCGAAGGCGGCUAUCUGGACAGAGUCUGACGCUGAUGCGCGAAAGCUAGGGGAGCAAACAGG
RNAcentral lists this ribosomal RNA (253 nucleotides) under uncultured prokaryote. RNAcentral's name for it is "partial 16S ribosomal RNA". It matches the Rfam family "Bacterial small subunit ribosomal RNA", at positions 524 to 776 of the family's 1533-position model. The record is from RNAcentral.